RNAcentral lists this long non-coding RNA (239 nucleotides) under Elaeis guineensis (African oil palm). RNAcentral describes it as "long non-coding RNA (EGUI_LNC049472)". The record is from RNAcentral. Lineage: Eukaryota; Viridiplantae; Streptophyta; Magnoliopsida; Arecales; Arecaceae.
UGGCUGACUUAAUUGCUUUAUCAAUGAAUUUGCCAUAUUGUUCGUAGAGUCUGUUGGGUUCCGGUGGCACAGUGAAAGAGUUAGGUGUUUAAAAGUUUUAUUCAAAACAUCCAAUACACCGGAGGCCCUAAUGCCCAAAAACUCUUGACUAUAAUAAUUAAAGCAUAAUAAAUAUAAAUUAGGAUAAGAAGAAUAUCUGUAGUGCUAAUCUCAAUUUUCAUAAGGCAUUCAAGUGUCUG